GCGGACGGGUGAGUAACGCGUAGGCAACCUGCCUCACACAGAGGGAUAGCCAUUGGAAACGAUGAAUAAUACCUCAUGAAACCGGAACAACACAUGUUGAUCCGGUCAAAGAUUUAUCGGUGUGAGAUGGGCCUGCGUCUGAUUAACUAGUUGGUGAGGUAACGGCUCACCAAGGUGACGAUCAGUAGCCGACCUGAGAGGGUGAUCGGCCACAUUGGAACUGAGACACGGUCCAAACUUCUACGGAAGGCAGCAGUAGGGAAUCUUGCACAAUGGGCGAAAGCCUGAUGCAGCAACGCCGCGUGAAGGAUGAAGGCCUUCGGGUUGUAAACUUCUGUUCCCGGGGACGAAGAAAGUGACGGUACCCGGGCAGCAAGCCCCGGCUAACUACGUGCCAGCAGCCGCGGUAAUACGUAGGGGGCAAGCGUUAUCCGGAAUUAUUGGGCGUAAAGAGUGCGUAGGCGGUUAUGUAAGCGUGAGGUUUAAGGCAGUGGCUUAACCACUGUUCGCCUUGCGAACUGCAUAACUUGAGUGCAGGAGGGGAAAGCGGAAUUCCUAGUGUAGCGGUGAAAUGCGUAGAUAUUAGGAGGAACACCAGCGGCGAAGGCGGCUUUCUGGACUGCAACUGACACUGA
Molecule: ribosomal RNA, 635 nt
Filed under: uncultured Clostridium sp.
Lineage: Bacteria; Bacillati; Bacillota; Clostridia; Eubacteriales; Clostridiaceae
Description: bacterial SSU rRNA
Rfam family: Bacterial small subunit ribosomal RNA
Source: RNAcentral